RNAcentral lists this ribosomal RNA (497 nucleotides) under uncultured bacterium. RNAcentral describes it as "partial 16S ribosomal RNA". It matches the Rfam family "Bacterial small subunit ribosomal RNA", at positions 28 to 507 of the family's 1533-position model. The record is from RNAcentral.
GAUGAACGCUGGCGGCGUGCCUAAUACAUGCAAGUCGAGCGAACAGACGAGUAGCUUGCUCCUCUGACGUUAGCGGCGGACGGGAGAGUAACAUGUGGUUAACCUACCUAUAAGACUGGGAUAACUUCGGGAAACCGGAGCCAAUACCGGAUAAUAUAUUGAACCGCAUGGUUCAAUAGUGAAUGACGGUUUUGCUGUCACUUAUAGAUGGAUCCGCGCCGCAUUAGCUAGUUGGUAAGGUAACGGCUUACCAAGGCCACGAUGCGUAGCCGACCUGAGAGGGCGAUCGGCAACACGGGAACGGGGACACGGGCCAGACUCGUACGGGAGGCAGCAGUAGGGAAUCUUCCGCAAGGGGCGGAAGGGUGACGGGGCAACGGCGCGUGAGUGAUGAGGGUCUACGGAUCGUAGAACACUGUUAUUAGGGAGGAACAAAUGUGUAAGGAACUAUGCGCGUCUGGACGGUACCGGAACAGAAAGCCACGGCUAACUACGUG